Molecule: ribosomal RNA, 800 nt
Filed under: uncultured bacterium
Lineage: Bacteria
Description: bacterial SSU rRNA
Rfam family: Bacterial small subunit ribosomal RNA
Source: RNAcentral
GGGGCAAUAGAAUGGCAAGUCGAACGGACUUAACUCAUUCUUUUAGAUUGAGAGCGGUUAGUGGCGGACUGGUGAGCAAUACGUAAGCAACCUGCCUAUCAGAGGGGAAUAACAGUGACAAAUCAUUGCUAAUACCGCAUAAGCUAGUAGUAUCGCAUGAUAUAGCUAGAAAAGGAGCAAUCCGCUGAUAGAUGGGCUUGCGUCUGAUUAGCUAGUUGGUGGGGUAACGGCCUACCAAGGCGACGAUCAGUAGCCGGACUGAGAGGUUGAACGGCCACAUUGGGACUGAGAUACGGCCCAGACUCCUACGGGAGGCAGCAGUCGGGAAUAUUGCGCAAUGGAGGAAACUCUGACGCAGUGACGCCGCGUAUAGGAAGAAGGUUUUCGGAUUGUAAACUAUUGUCGUGAGGGAAGAAAUUGACAGUACCUAAGGAGGAAGCCCCGGCUAACUAUGUGCCAGCAGCCGCGGUAAUACAUAGGGGGCAAGCGUUAUCCGGAAUUAUUGGGUGUAAAGGGUGCGUAGACGGGUGUUUAAGUUGGUUGUGAAAUCCCUCGGCUCAACUGAGGAACUGCAACCAAAACUGGAUAUCUUGAGUGUCGGAGAGGAAAGUGGAAUUCCUAGUGUAGCGGUGAAAUGCGUAGAUAUUAGGAGGAACACCAGUGGCGAAGGCGACUUUCUGGACGAUAACUGACGUUGAGGCACGAAAGUGUGGGGAGCAAACAGGAUUAGAUACCCUGGUAGUCCACACUGUAAACGAUGGAUACUAGGUGUAGGGUGUAUUAAACAUUCUGUGCCGCCG